CCCGCUCAGAAACUUAAAGGAAGUUGACGGGGCCCGCACAAGCGGUGGAGUAUGUGGUUUAAUUCGAUGCAACGCGAAGAACCUUACCUGGUCUUGACAUCCCGGAGACCCUUAGGAAACUAGGGGGUGCUUCCAUCUGGAAGAAUCUGGAGACAGGUGCUGCAUGGCUGUCGUCAGCUCGUGUCGUGAGAUGUUGGGUUAAGUCCCGCAACGAGCGCAACCCUUGCCUUUAGUUGCCAGCAGUUCGGCUGGGCACUCUAAAGGGACUGCCGGUGUUAAACCGGAGGAAGGUGGGGAUGACGUCAAGUCCUCAUGGCCUUUAUGACCAGGGCUACACACGUACUACAAUGGCCGAUACAAAGGGCAGCGACACUGCGAGGUGAAGCCAAUCCCGUAAAAUCGGUCUCAGUCCGGAUUGGAGUCUGCAACUCGACUCCAUGAAGUUGGAAUCGCUAGUAAUCGUGGAUCAGCAUGCCACGGUGAAUACGUUCCCGGGCCUU
Molecule: ribosomal RNA, 500 nt
Filed under: uncultured Desulfobulbus sp.
Lineage: Bacteria; Pseudomonadati; Thermodesulfobacteriota; Desulfobulbia; Desulfobulbales; Desulfobulbaceae
Description: bacterial SSU rRNA
Rfam family: Bacterial small subunit ribosomal RNA
Source: RNAcentral